GGAAGACUUGAUUGGGGGAGGGGGAGGGAAUGGGAGGUGGUGGCGGGGAAGAGGCAGAAAUCUUUAAUAAUUAAAUUAAUUAAUUAAUAAAAAAAAUCAGCAAGAAAAAAAAAUUUACACUUGUCUAUAAAGAGGUUAUGAAGUUGUCAAAAAAAAAAUUUGGGGAUGAAAACCAAAAUGCCCCAACUAAGUGGUCACGUUAACAAAACUGUGCAAUACCAUUGGGCCACCUAGUGAUGGACAGAGAAAUGGAGGAUAAAAAUGUGUCUGUACCUGUUUUGGGAUGGGAGAGGAGUUGUGGGUCCCCACACAGCCUGCUGAGGGAAAAUGCAUGAGAAUGAGAGGAACCAGGUUUAAAGCUGGCUUGGCUGAUGCACAUGUUUUGAGACCAAGGAAAGGCCCUGCCCUGUGCUGGUGGCCUGCAAUCAUGUGUCCUGGUCUCAUCAUAUUGGACUUGCCUACAGAACCUGGGUCCUCAGCUCUCCUUUGUGUUGUGUUCAAGGGAAGCCAUGUUUGUUACUGGAACUCUCCCCUUGCUGGUCUAGUGUACAAGGUGUGAAUAGCCAUCUAGACAGGGAGAAUUGGAACAUGUCCAUUGAAGGUAGUUCUGGGAUCCUCAAUUUGAUGAAGUGGAUUUCAUGAUAAGGGUCAUCUGUGAGAUUUGGGACUACGAGAUUAUAUGAGGAGAUGUGGACACAUGGAUCUCACUGUUCAUAGACUGAGUGCCUGGUGAACUGUGCCAUCCAGGCCUAAGUGCGUGAGCCAGUGUUGGAAGUUAGGUAUCUAGCAAACGCCUAGGCUGAGCUGGUAGGAAGUCUGUGUGACAGCAGCCUUUCCUUGAAAUCCCCACAUUGUGGGUUGACUGUGGCUCAUAAGGCCGUUACAGGACAGGAUUUUACAUAGUCCAUUUGAAGCCAUAAACAUGUGUGGUAUACUCACCCUGUAACAAAACCAAAGAAAGGACGAGAAUCCUCAAAAUGCCUGCAUAUAGACCACAAGAUUCCAGCUCGGCCUAGGAGUUUAGGCUAGUGGCAGACUGAGAGGAUAAUGGACAAUCUCAGGACUCUGCUGGUGUGCAGAAUACAUGUACAUGGUGUAUCUGUAACAGAGACUGAGAAAUCAUGGGAUCUGGAGACUCACCUGACUCAGUGCUGUGAAAUCAUACAGAGCGCUUCUUAUGGCAAUUAUUGUCAAAACAGUGGGAAUCAACCCUCCCAAUGACAAUCUCAAGCAAAGAUAUGUCCGGUACAAAUCAUAGAACCAGCAAAAUCGAAAUUAGGACUUGUCUGUUAGAAUUCAUAGCACCUGUAAAAUUGCAGUGAGUACGUACCAAUGAAAAAAAUUUUAUGGCUGGUGGUCACCAGAACAUGAGAAACUUUCCUAAAGGGUUGCAGCAUGAGGAGGGUUGAAAGCCACUCUCUUAGGUACAUCAUGUAGUAGGUGCUUUUAUAUGCUGGAAUGCUUUCCAUGAAUUGAAAAUGUAAGGCCUAUGUCCUCAUCAAGGUUUCUGUACUGGGAGAGUAGAGACUACAGUGAUGGUAGAAUAUCUUGGUCACUCAGGUGAUGUUGGUUUUGCACAGACUUCUGGAUCAUAGACAGGCAUCCCUAGAGUAUGUGGAUGCCAUGGGUGAGGGCAAGGCUUCAGACAACCUCUGAAGAUGGUCUGACUGGGAACAAUAAGAUCCCAGGUAAUUCAAAAGGAUUCAAAUUUGUGGAUGAGAACCAAAAUGCCCCAACUAAGUGGUCAAGUUCAAAAACCAGUGCAACACCAGUCGGCCACCAAGUGACUGACAGGGAAAUGGAGGAUUAAAACAUGUCUGUGCCUGUUUUGGGUUGGGGGAUGAUUUGUGGGUCCCCGCAAAGCCUACUAAGGGGAGAAUGCUUGAGCAUGAGAGGAACCAGGUUCAAAUCUGGCUUGGCUAAUGCACAAUAGUGAGACCAAGGAAAGGCCCUGCCCUGUGCUGGUGGCCUGCAAUCAUGUGUCCUGGUCUCAUCAUAUUGGACUGGCCUACAGAACCUGGGUCCUCAGCUCUGCUUUGUGUUCUGUUCAGGGGAAGCCAAGUUUGUGACUAGAGUUUUCCCCCUGCUGGUCUGGUGCACAAGGUUUGCAUAGCCAUCUAUACUGGGAGAAUGGGAACAUGGCCUGUGAAGGCAGUUCUGGGACCCUCAUUUUCCUGGAAUGAAUGUCGUGGGCAGAUGAUCUGUGAGACCUGGAAUGAAGGGAUUAUAUGAGGAAAUGUGGACACAUGGAUCUCACUGCUCAUAGCCUGAAUGUCUGGUGAACUGUGCCAGCUAGGCCUAAGAGCGUGAGCCAGUGUAGGAAGUUAUGUGUCCAGAAAACUCCAAGGCUGAGCUGAAAUGACGUCUGUGUGACAGCAGCCUUUCCUUAAAAUCUCAACAUUGUAAGUUGACUGCACAUAAGGACGUUACACAACAGGCUUUUGCAUAGUCCUUUUGAAGCCACCAACAUGUGUGGUAUACUCACCCUGUAACAAAACCAAAGCAGGGACGAGAAUCCUUAAAAUGCUGCUUUAUAGACUUCAAGAUUCCAGCUUGGCCUAGGAGUUUAGGCUAGUGGGGGACUCGAGGAGAUAUUGGUCCCUCUCAGGACUCUGAUGGAAUGUAGAAAACAUUUACAUGGACUAUGUGUAACAGAGACUGAGAAAUCAUGGGACCUGGACACUCACCUGGAUCGGUGCUAUGAAAUCCUACAGAGCCCUUUUAUAGCAGUUAUUGUCAAACAGUGGGAAUCAACCCUCCCAAAGACCAUCUGCAGCAAAGGUAUGUCUGGUACAAUACAUAGCACCAGAAAAAUUUCAGUUAGCAUAUGUCUGUUCAAAUUCAUAACAACUGCAAAAGUGUAGUUAGGAUGUCUCAAUGAUAAUAUUUUAUGACUGGUAGUCACCAGAACAUGAGAAACUUUGCUGAAGGGUCACAGCAUAAAGAGGGUUGAAAGUCACUGCCUUUGGUACAUCAUGUAGUUGGUGGUUAUACAUGCUAGAAUGCUCUCUAUGAAUUGAAAACGUAAGGCCUAUGCCCUCAUCAUAGCCUCUGUCCUGGAAGAGUGGAGCCAACAACAGUGGUUAAAUAUCUUGUUCGCACAGGAGGCAUUGGUUUUGCACAGACUUCUGGAUCAUAGACAGGCAUCCCUAUACGAUGUAGAUGUCAUGCGUGAUGGCAAUGCUUCAGACAACCUCUGAGGAUGGUCUGACUGGGAACCAUAGGAUCCCAGGUAAUUCUACAUGAUUAAAAUUUUGGGAUGAGAACUAAAAUGCCCCAACUAAGUGAUCAUGUUAACAAAAACUGUGCAAUACCAUUGGGCCACCUAGUGAUGGACAGAGAAAUGGGGGAUGAAAAUGUGUCUGUACCUGUUUUGGGAUGGGAGAGGAGUUGUGGGUCCUCACACAGCCUGCUAAGGGGAAAUGCAUGAGCAUGAGAGGAACCAGGUUCAAAUAUGGCUUGGUUGAUGCACAUGUUGUGAGACCAAGGAAAGACCCUGCCCUGUGCUGGUGGCCUGCAAUCAUAUGUCCUGGUCUCAUCAUAUUGGACUGGCCUACAGAACCUGGGUCCUCAGCUCUCCUUUGUGUUGUGUUCAGGGGAAGCCAUGUUUUUUUAAUGGAAAUCUCCCCCUCCUGGCCUAGUUCACAAGGUGUGCAUAGCCAUCUAGAGUGGGAGAAUGGAAACAUGACCUGUGAAGGCAGUUCUGAGAUCCUCACUUUGAUGAAGUAAAUCUCAGGAUAAGGGUGAUGUGUGAGAAUUGGAACUAGGGGAUUAUAUGAGGAAAUGUGGACACAUGGAUCUCACUGCUCAUGGCCUGAGCGCCUGAUGAACUGUGCCAUCCAGGCCUAAGAGCGUGAGCCAGUAUAGAAAGUUGUAUAUCUAGAAAACUCCCAGACUAAGCUGGUAUGAAGACUGUGUGACAGCAGCCUUUCCUUGAAAUCCCCACAUUGUAGGUUACUGUGGCUAAUAAGGCCGUCACAGGACAGGCUUUUGCAUAGUCCUUUUGAAGCCAUAAACAUGUGUGGUAUACUCACCCUGUAACAAAACCAAAGCAGGGACAAGAAUCCUUAAAAUGCUGGUAUAUAGAGUACAAGAUUCCAGCUUGGCCUAGGAGUUUAGGCUAGUGGGGGACUUGAGGAGGUAUUGGUCCCUCUCAGGACUCUGAUGGAAUGUAGAAAACAUCUACAUGGAGUAUGUGUAACAGAGACUGAGAAAUCAUGGGACCUGGACACUCACCUGGCUCGAUGCUGUGAAAUCCUACAGAGCCCUUUUAUGGCAGUUGUUGUCAAACAGUGGGAAUCAACCCUCCCAAAGACCAUCUGCAGCAAAGAUAUGUCUGUGACAAUUCACAGCACCAGAAAAAUUUCAGUUAGAAUAUGUCUGUUAUGAUUCAUAGCAUCUGCAAAAUUGCAGUAAGGACUUUCCAAUGAAAAUAAUUUUACGGCUGGUGGUCACCAGAACAUGAGAAACUUUGCUAAAGGGUCACAGCAUGAGGAGGGUUGAAAGCCACUGUCUUUCGUACAUCAUGUAGUAGGUGCUUUUAUACGGUGGAAUGUUCUCCAUAAAUUGAAAAUGUAAGGCCUAUGUCUUCAUCAUAGUCUCUGUACUGGAAGAGUGGCGCCAACGACAGUGGUUAAAUAUCUUGGUCACACAGGAGGUGUUGGUUUUGCACAGACUUCUGGAUCAUAGACAGGCAUCUCUAGAGGUUAUGGAUGCCAUGCGUGAGGGCAAGGCUUCAGACAACAUUUGAAGAUGGUCUGACUGGGAUCAAUAAGAUCCCAGGUAAUUCUAAAUGAUUCAGAUUUGUGGAUGAGAACCAAAAUGCCCCAACUAAGUGUUCAAGUUCAAAAAACUGUGCAACACCAGUCGGCCACCUAGUGACAGACAGGGAAAUCGAGAAGUAAAAUAUGUCUGUACCUGUUUUUGGUUGGGGGAUGAUUUCUGGGUACCCAAACAGCCUACUGAGGGGAGAAUGCGUGAGCAUGAGAGGAACCAGGUUCAAAUCUGGCUUUGCUGAUGCACAUGUAGUGAGACCAAGCAAUAGCCCUGCCCCUGUGCUGGUGGCCUGCAAUCAUAUAUCCUGGUCUCAUCAUAUUGAACUGGCCUACAGAACCUGGGUCCUCAGCUCUGUUUUGUGUUCUGUACAGGGGAAGCCAUGUUUGUGACUAAUGCACUCCCCUUGCUCUUCAAGUGCACAAGGUGUGCAUAGCCAUCUAGACUGGGGCAAUGGGAACAUGGCCUGUGAAGGCAGUACUGGGAUACUCACCUUGCUAGAAUGAAUCUCAGGGUCAGGGCAAUCUGUGAGAUUUGAAACAAUGAGAUUAUAUGAGGAAAUGUGGACACAUGGAUCUCACUUUUCAUAGCUUGAGUGCCUGGUGAACUGUCUCAGCUAGGCCUAAGAGCGUGAGCAAGUGUAGGAACUUAUAUGUGCAGAAAACUCCAAGGCUGAGCUGGAAUGAAUCUGUAUAACACCAGCCUUUCCUUAAAAUCCCCACAUUGUAGGUUGACUGCACGUAAGUCCGUUACAGACAGAAUUUUGUAUAGUCCCUUUGAAGCCACCAACAUGUGUGGUAUACUCACCCUGUAACAAAACCAAAGCAGGGAUGAGAAUCCUUGAAAUGCUGGUAUAUAGACUACAAGAUUCCAGCUUGGCCUAGGAGUUUAGGCUAGUGGGGGACUCGAGGAGAUAUUGGUCCCUCUCAGGACUCUGAUGGGAUGUAGGAAACAUCUACAUGGACUAUGUGUAACAGAGACUGAGAAAUCUUGGGACCUGGACACUCACCUGGAUCGGUGCUGUGAAAUCCUACAGAGUCUUUUAUGGCAGUUGUUGUCAAACAGUGGGAAUCAACCCUCCCAAAGACCAUCUGCAGCAAAGAUAUGUCUGUGACAAUUCAUAGCACUAGAAAAUUUUCGGUUAGAAUAUGUCUGUUCAGAUACAAAAAACUGCAAAAUUGUAGUUAGGAUUCCUCAAUGAAAAUAAUUUUAUGACUUUUCAUCACCAGAGCAUGAGAAACUUUGCUAAAGGGUCACAGCAUGAGAGGGUUGAAAGCCACUGUCUUUGGUAUAUCAUGUAGUAGGUGGUUCUACAGGCUGGAAUGCUCUCUAUGAAUUGAAAAUGUAAGGCUUAUAUCCUCAUCAUAGUCUCUGUCCUGGAAGAGUGGCGCCAACGACAGCGGUUAAAUAUCUUGGUCACACAGGAGGUGUUGGUUUUGCACAGACUUCUGGAUCAUAGGCAUCCCUAUACGAUGUGGAUGCCAUGCGUGAGGGCAAUGCUUCAGACAACAUCUGAAGAUGGUCUGACUGGGAAUCAUAGGAUCACAGGUAAUUCUAUAUGAUUAAAAUUUUGGGAUGAGAACCAAAAUGCCCCACCUCAGAGGUCAAGUUAAAAAAAAACUGUGCAAUACCAUUGGGCCACCUAGUGAUGGACAGAGAAAUGGAGGAUGAAAAUGUGUCUGCGCCUGUUUUGGGAUAGGGGAAGAGUUGUGGGUCCCCACACAGCCUGCUGAGGGGAGAAUGCAUGAGCAUGAGAGGAACCAGGUUCAAAUCUGGCUUGGUUGAUGCACAUAUUGUGAGACCAAGGAAAGACCCUGCCCUGUGCUGGUGGCCUGCAAUCAUGUGUCCUGGUCUCAUCAUAUUGGACUGGCCUACAGAACCUGGGUCCUCAGCUCUGCUUUGUGUUGUGUUCAUGAGAAGCCAUGUUUGUUACUGGAAAUCUCCCCUUGCUGGUCUAGUGCACAAAUUUUGCAUAGCCAUCUAGACUGGGAGAAUGGAAACAUGGCCUGUGAAGGCAGUUCUGAGAUCAUCACUUUGAUGAAGUGGAUCUCAGGAUAAGGGUGAUCUGUGAGAACUGGGACUAGGGGAUUAAAUGAGGCAAUGUGGACACGUGGAUCUCACUGCUCAUGGCCUGAGCGCCUGAUGAACUGUGCCAUCCAGGCCUAAGAGUGUGAGCCAGUGUAGGAAGUUGUGUAUCUAGCAAACUCCUAGACUGAGCUGGUAUGAAGACUGUGUGACAGCAGCCUUUCCUUGAAAUCCCCACAUUGUAGAUUGACUGUGGCUCAUAAGGUCAUUACAGGACAAGAUUUUACAUAGUCCAUUUGAAGCCACCUACAUGUGUGGUAUACUCACCCUGUAACAAACCAAAGCAGAGAAGAGAAUCCUUGAAAUGCAGGCAUAUAGACCACAAGAUUCCAGCUUGGCCUAGGAGUUUAGGCUAGUGGCAGACUGAGAGGUUAUUUGACCCUCUCAGGACUCUGCUGGUGUGCAGAAUACAUGUACAUAGUGUAUCUGUAACAGAGACUGAGAAAUCAUUGGAUCUGGAGACUCACCUGACUCAGUGCUGUGAAAUCAUACAGAGCGCUUUUAUGCUAGAUGUUGUCAAACAGUGGGAAUCAUCCCUCCCAGUGACAAUCUGAAGCAACGAUAUGUCUGGUAAUAAUCAUAGCACCAGCAAGGUCAAAAUUAGGAUUUGUUUGUUAGAAUUAAUAGCACCUGUAAAUUGUAGUGAGUAAGUCUCAACGAAAAAGAAUUUUGUGGCUGGUGGUCACCAGAACAUGAGAAACUUUCCUAAAGGGUUUGCAGCAUGAGGAGGGUUAAAAGUCACUGUCUUUGGUACAUCAUGAAGUACGUGCUUUUAUUCACUGUAAUGUUCUCCAUGAGUUGAAAAUGUAAGGCCUAUGUCCUCAUCAAGGUCUCUGUACUGGGAAAGUAGGGCCAACGACAAUGGUUAAAUAUCUUGGUGACACAGGAGGUGUUGGUUUUGCACAGACUUCUGAAUCAUAGACAGGCAUUCCUAGAGGAUGUGGAUGCCAUGGGUGACGGCAAGGCUUCAGACAGCCUCUGAAGAUGGUCUGAAUGGGAAAAAUAGGAUCCCAGUUAAUUCAAAAUGAUUCAAAUUUGUGGAUGAGAACCAAAAUGCCCCAACUAAGUGGUCAAGUUCAAAAAACUGUGCAACACCAUUCAGUCACCUAGUGACGGACAGAGAAAUGUAGGAUUAAACCAUGUCUGUACCUCUAUUGGGUUGGCAGAUGAUUUGUGGGUCCCCCAUUGCUUACUGAGGAGAGAAUGCAUGAGCAUGAGAGGAACCAGGUUCAAAUCUGAUUUUGGUGAUGCACAUGUUGUGAGACCAAGGAAAUGCCCUGCCCUGUGCUGGUGGCCUGCAAUCAUGUGUCCUGGUCUCAUCAUAUUGCACUGGCCUACAGAACCUGGGUCCUCAGAACUGCUUUGUGUUGUGUUCAAGGGAAUCCAUGUUUGGUACUGGAAAUCUCCCCUUGCUGGUUUUGUUCAAAUAGUGGUGCAUAGCCAUCAGGACUGGGAGAAUGGGAUCAUGUCCAGUGAAGGCAGUUCUGGGAUACUCACCUUGCUGGAAUGGAUCUCAGGAUCAGGGUGAUCUGUGAGACCUGGGAUGAUGGAAUUAUAUGAGGGGAUGUGGACACACGGAUAUCACUGCUCAUAGCCUGGGUGCCUGGUGAACUGUACUAGCUAAGACUAAGAGCUUGAGCCAGUGUACGAAGUUGUGUUUCCAGAAAGCUCCAAGGCUAAGCUGGUAUGACGUCUUUGUGAAACCAACCUUUCCUUGAAAUCUCACAUUUUAGUGUGACUGUAGCUCAUAAGGCAGUUACAGGACAGGCUUUUGCAUAGUCCUUUUGAAGUCACAAACAUGUGUGUUAUACUCACCCUGUAACAAAACCAAAGCAGGGAUAAGAAUCCUCAAAAUGCUCAUGUAUAGACUACAAUAUUCCAGCUUGGCCUAGUAGUUUACACUAGUGGGGGAUUCAAGGGAAGAUUGGUCCAUCUCAGGAUUCUGAAGGAAUGUAGAAAACAUUUACAUGGAGUAUGUGUAACAGAGACUGAGAAAUCAUGGGACCUGGACUCUCACCUGGCUUGGUGCUGUGAAAUGAUACAGAGCCCUUUUAUGGCAGUUAUUGUCAUACCAGUGGGAAUCAAUCCUCCCAAAGACAAUCUGCAACAAAGAUAUGUCUGUGACAAUUCAUAGCACCAACAACAUUUCAGUUAGGAUAUGUCUGUUAUGAUUCAUAGCAUCUUCAAAACUGCAGUAAGGACAUUCCAAUGAAAAUAAUUUUACGACUUUUGGUCACCAGAACAUGAGAAACUUUGCUAAAGGGUCGUAGUAUGAGGAGGGUUGAAACCCUCUGUCUCUGAUUCUUUAGAAGUAGGUGAAUUUAAGUCUGGAAUGCUCUACAUGAAUAAAAUUGUAAGCCAAUGCCCUCAUUAAGGGCUCUGUCCUGGGAGAGUGGGGACUACGGUGGUGGCUGAAUAUCUUGGUCACUCAGGAGGUUUUGGUGUUGUUUAGACUUCUGGAGAAUAGACAGGCAUCCCUAGAGGAUGUGGAUGCCAUGGGUGAGGGCAAAUCUUAGGACAACCUCUGAGGAUUGUCUGACUGUGAAAUAAAGGAAACCAGUGGAUUCAAAAUUGUCAAAUUUGGUGAUCGUGGGGCCAUAAAUGCCUAAAUACAGUGGUCUCUUUCAAAAAUAAACUGUGCAGCACCAGUGGACCACCUAGUGCAGCAUGGGUAUGUGGAGAAUGAAAAUGUGUCUGUGCCUGUUUUGGUAUGGGGGAGGAAUUGUGGGUCCCCACACAGCCUGCUGAAAGGAGAAUGCAUGAGCAUGAGAGGAACCAGGUUCAAAUCUGGCUUGGUUGAUGCACAUGUUGAGAGACCAAGGAAAGACCCUGCCCUAUGCUGGUGGCCUGCAGUCAUAUGUCCUGGUCUCAUCGUACUGGACUGGCCUACAGAACCUGGGUCCUCAGAUCUGCUUUGUGUUGUGUUCAAGGGAAGCCAUGUUUGUGACUAGAGCUCUCCCCUUGCUGGUCUAGUGUACAUGGUGUGCAUGGCCAUCCAGACUGGGAGAAUGGGAGCAUGGCCUGUGAAGGAAGUUCUGGGAUCCUCAAUUUGAUGAAGUGGAUCUCAGGAUAAGGGUGAUCUCUGAGAACUGGGAGUAGGGGAUUAUAUGAGGAGAUGUGGACACCUGGAUCUUACUGCUCAUAGCCUCAGUGCCUGGUGAACUGUGCCAACCAGGCCUAAGACCAUGAGCCUGUGUAGGAAGUUAUGUAUCUAGCAAACUCCUAGGCUGAGCUGGUAUGAAGUCUCUGUGAUACCAGGCUUUUUUUUGAAAUCCCCACAUUCUAGGUUGACUGUAGCUCAUGAGGCAGUUACAGGACAAGAUUUUGCAUAGUGCUUUUGAAGCCACAAACAUGUGUGGCAACAUGUUUGUGUAACAAAGCCUAACAAAGCCUGUAAGAAAGCCAAACAGUGACGAGAAUCCUUGAAAUGCUGGCACUUAGACUACAAGAUUGCAGCAUGGCCUAGGAGUUUAGGCUAAUGGCAAACUGAGAGGAUAUUUGACCCUUUGAGGACUCUGCUGGUGUGCAGAAUACAUGUACAUGGUGUAUGUGUAGCAGAGACUGAGAAAUCAUGGGAUUUUGACACGCGCCGGACUCAGAACUAUGAAAUCAUACAGAGCGCAUUUUGUGACAGAUGUUGUGGGAAUCAACCCUCCCAAAGACAAUCUGAAUCAAAGAUAUCUCUGGUACAGUUCAUAGCAUGAGUAAAAUUGAAAGUUGGAUUUUUCUGUUAUGAUUCAUAUCAUCUGUAAAAUGCAGUGAUGAUAUCCCAAUAAAAAUAAUUCUAUAGCUAGUGGUCAUCAGAUCACGAGAAACUUUGCUAAAGGGUUGCAGCAUGAGGAGGGUUGAAAGCCACUGUCUUUGGUACAUCAUGCAGUAGGUGCUUUUAUACGCUGGAAUGCUCUCCAUGAAUUGAAAAUGUAAGGCCUAUGUCCUCAUCAAGGUCUCUGUACUGGGAGAGUGGGGACUACAGUGAUGGUUGAAUAUCUUGGUCACUCAGGUGGCAUUGGUUUUGCACAGACUUCUGGAUCAUAGACAGGCAUCCCUAGAGGAUGUGGAUGCCAUGGGUGAGGGCAAGGCCUCAGACAACCUCUGAGGAUGGUCUAACUGGGAACCAUUGCAUCCCAGGUAAUUCUAUAUGAUUAAAAUUUGGGGGUAAGAACCAAAAUGCCCCAACUAAGUGUUCAAGUUCAAAAAACUGUGCAACACUAGUCGGCCACCUAGUGAUAGACAGAGAAAUGGAGGAUAAAAAUGUGUCUGUGCUUGUUUUGGGAUGGGGUAGGAAUUGUGGGUCCCCACACAGUCUGCUGAGGAGAGAAUGCAUGAGCAUGAGAGGAACCAGGUUUAAAGCUGUCUUGGCUGAUACACAUGUUGUGAAACCAGAAAAGGCCAUGCCCUGUGCUGGUGACCUGUAAUCAUAUGUCCUGGUCUCAUCAUAUUGGACUGGUCUACAGAACCUGGGUCCUCAGCUCUGCUUUGUGUUGUGUUCAGGGGAAGCCAUGUUUGUUACUGGAAAGCAUCCCUUGCUGGUCUAGUGCACAAGGUGUGCAUAGCCAUCUAGACUGGGAGAAUGGAAACAUGGCCUGUGAAGGCAGUUCUGGGAUCCUCACUUUGAUGAAGUGGAUCUCAGGAUAAGAGUGAUUUGUGAGAACUGGGACUAGGGGAUUAAAUGAGGAAAUGUGGACACAUGGAUCUCACUGUUCAUGGCCCGAGUGCCUGGUGAACUGUGCCAUCCAGGCCUAAGAGCGUGAGCCAGUGUAGGAAGUUGUGUAUCCAGCAAACGCCUAGGCUGAGCUGGUAUGAAGACUGUGUGACAGCAGCCGUUCCUUGAAAUCCCCACAUUGUAGGUUACUGUGGCUCAUAAGGCCGUUACAGGACAGGCUUUUGCAUAGUCCUUUUGAAGCCACCAACAUGUGUGGUAUACUCACCCUGUAACAAAACCAAAGCAGGGACGAGAAUCCUUAAAAUGCUGCUUUAUAGACUACAAGAUUCCAGCUUGGCCUAGGAGUUUAGGCUAGUGGGGGACUUGAGGAGGUAUUGGUCCCUCUCAGGACUCUGAUGGAAUGUAGAAAACAUCUACAUGGACUAUGUGUACAGAGACUGAGAAAUCAUGGGACCUGGACACUCACCUGUAUCGGUGCUGUGAAAUCCUACAGAGCCCUUUUAUGGCAGUUGUUGUCAAACAGUGGGAAUCAACCCUCCCAAAGACCAUCUGCAGCAAAGAUAUGUCUGUGACAAUUCACAGCACCAGAAAAAUUUCAGUUAGAAUAUGUCUGUUAUGAUUCAUAGCAUCUGCAAAAUUGCAGUAAGGACUUUCCAAUGAAGAUAAUUUUACGGCUGGUGGUCACUGGUCACCAGAACAUGAGAAACUUUGCUAAAGGGUCACAGCGUGAGGAGGGUUGAAACCCACUGUCUUUGGUUCUUUAUGAAGGAGGUGGAUUACAGGCUGGAAUGCUCUCCAUGAAUAAAAGUGUAAGGCCAAUGCCCUCACCAAGGUCUCUGUCCUGGGAGAGUGGGGACUAUGGUGUUGGUUGAAUAGCUUGUUCACUCAGGAGGCUUUGGUGUUGCACAGACUUCUGGAUCGUAGACAGGCAUCCCUAGAGGAUGUGGAUGCCAUGGCUGAGGGCAAAUCUUCAGAGAACCUCUGAGGAUUGUCUGACUGUUAAAUAAAGGAAACCAGAGGAUUCUAAAUUGUCAAAUUUGGUGAUAGUGGAGCCAUCAAUGCUCCAAUACUUUGGUCUGUUUCAAAAUUAAACUGUGCAACACCAGUGGACCUCCUAAUACAGGAUGGGUAUUUGGAGGAUGAAUAUGUGUCUGUGCUUCUUUUGGGAUGAGGGAGGAGUUGUGGGUCCCCACACAGCCUGUUGUGGGGAGAAUGCAUGAACAUGAGAGGAACCAGGUUCAAAUCUGGCUUGGCUAAUGCACAUGUUUUGAGACCAAGGAAAGGCCCUGCCGUGUGCUGGUGGCCUGCAAUCAUAUGUCAUGGUCUCAUCAUAUUGGACUUGCCUACAGAACCUGGGUCCUUAGCUCUGCAUUGUGUUUUGUUCAGGGGAAGUCAUGUUUGUAACCAGAGCUCUCCCCUUGCUCGUCUAGUGCACAAGUUGUGCAUAGCCAUCUAGACUUGGAGAAUGGGAACAUCGCCCUUGAUGGCAGUUCUGGCAUCCUCAAUUUGAUGGAAUAGAUCACAGGAUAUUGGAAAUCUGUGUAACCUGGGCUUAUUGCACGGUGAGAAGGUGUGGACAUGUGGCACUCACUCUCAUUGCCAGAAUGAGCAAAAUUCAUUUUUGUAGACAAAAAUGAAUAGAGGACAGUUCCGCUACAUAUAAGUGUGUGAGCCAGUGUGAGAGGAUCCAUUACUAUAAGACUCCAUGGCUAAGCUGGCAUGCACUCUGUAUGACUGCGGUACUUUCUAGAAAUUUAUAUGUAGUAGGGUGGCUGUGACAUUUUUGACAGUCACCCUGACAGUAUUUUGCACAGUUCUUUGGUUCCACAUACAUUUGGGUAAUAGCCACAUUCUAAGAAGUCAGGACCGUGGGUGAGAUUCCAUGAGAUGUAUCCAUGCAGACUCAAAUAUUCCAGCUUGAACCCGGAGUUUAAGGUAGUGGGAUAAUAACUGGCUUAUGGAUUCCUCUCUAGACUGUGUUGGUGUUCAGACUACAUCAACUUGGUGUCAAAGUAACUGAUUGCCUAAUCCUGGGAUCUGUAUAUUCACGUGGCUUGGUGCUAUGAAAUCCUAUAGAGACCUUUUCUUAGGGGAGUUAUACUCAACCUGUGAGAAGCCACCCUCCCAAAGACCAUCUGAAGCAAUGCAAUUUAUAUGACAAUUCAUAACACCAGCAAAACUGAAGUUAGGACGAUCCAGUGGAAAUGAUUUUACUGUCUGUGUUCACCAGAACAUGAGAAAUUUUGCUAAAUGGUCUCAACAUGAGGAGGAUUAAAACCCACUAUCUUAUGGUCAGUAGAUUGUACAUAGGUUAGAGCCUGGGUGACUCUCCAUGAAUGAAAAUUGUAAGGUCUAUGCCCACAGCAAGGUCUCUGUCCUAGUGAAUGAGGUCAAUAGUGGUGGACAGUUAUUUGGGUCAUACAGGAGCCUUUGCUGUUGCACAGGCUCCUGGACUAUAGACAGGCAUCCCGAGAGGAUGUAGAUGACAUGGCUAAGGUUAAAGCUUCAGACAAUGAUUGAGGCCUGUCUGACUGGGAACCAAAGGAUCCCAGCUUAUUUCAAAUGAUUCAAAUUUGGGAGAGGUGAGGACCAAAAUGCCCCAACUCAAUGUUAAGGUUCAAAAACUGUGCAACACCAGCUGGGCCACCUAGUGAAGGAUGUGUACAUGGAGGAUGAAAAUGUGUCUGGGUUUUGGGAUCGGGGAGGAGUUGUGGGUCCCCACACAGACUGCUGAGGGGAGAAUGCAUGAGCAUGAGAGGAACCAGGUUUAAAGCUGGCUUGGUUGAUGCACAUGUUGUGAGACCAAGGAAAGACCCUGCCCUGUGCUGGUGGCCUGCAAUCAUGUGUCCUGGUCUCAUCAUAUUGGACUGGCCUACAGAACCUGGGUCCUCAGCUCUGCUUUGGGUUGUGUUCAUGGAAGCCAUGUUUGUGACUAGAGCUCUCCCCUUGCUGGUCUAGUGCACACGGUGUUCAUAGCCAUCUAGUCUAGGAGAAUGGGAACAUGGCCUGUGAAGGCAGUUCUAGGAUCCUCACUUUGCUGGAAUGGAUCACAGGAUUUUGGUGAUCUGUGAGAUGUGGGCCUAUGGCACUGUGAGAAGCUGUGGACAUGUGGCACUCACUGCUUGUGGCUUAAAUGAGCAAAAUUCAUUUUUGUGGACAAAAAUGAAUAGAGGACAGCCCAAAUACACCUAAGAGUGUAAGCCAUUGAGGGAGGAUCCAUUACUAGAAGACUCCAUGACUAAGCUGGCAUGCGGUCUGUAUGACAGCAGCACUUUCUAGAAAUUUCCAUAUAGUAGAGUGACUGUGACAUGUUUGACAGUCACCCGGACAGCAUUUUGCACAGUUCUUUUGGUGCCACAUAAAUGUGUGUUAUGGUCACAUUCUAAGAAGGCCAGACCAUGGGUGAAAAUACACCUGAUGCAUCCAUGCAGACUCCAAUACUCCAGCUUGGCCUAGGAGUUCAAGGUACCGAGGCAGUCACAGGGUUAUUGAUUUCUCUCUAGACUGUGUUGGUGUUCAGACUACACUAACUCGGUGUCAAAGUGACCGAUUGCGAAAUCAUCUGAUCUGUACAUUCACCUGGCUUGGUGCUGUGAAAUCCUAUGGAGACCUUUUCUUAGGGCAGUUAUACUCAACCUGUGGGAAGCAACCCUCCCAAAGACCAUCUGAAGCAUGCAAUUUACAUGACGAUUCAUAACACCAGCAAAACUGAAGUUAGGACGAUCCAGUGGAAAUGAUUUUACUGUCUGUGUUCACUAGAACACGAGAAAUUUUGCUAAAUGAUCUCAGCAUGAGGAGGGUUAAAACCCACUCUCUUAUGGUCAUCAGACAGUACGUAGAUCAGGGCCUGAAUGACUCUCCAUGAAUGGAAAGUGUAAGGCCUAUGCCCACAGCAAGGUCUCUGUCCUAGUGAAUGAGGUCAAUGGUGGUGGAUGGUUAUUUGUUGGAAAGCAGGAUGCUGUAUCAGUCUCAUUGAUUGUCUAGUGUUCAGAGUGCAAGAUACCAGCUAAUCAUAGGCAUGUAAAGAUUGGGCAGUUUUGUAGGAAUCUCUUAGUCUACUGUGGUAGUGUACUGAUUGCUAUGUUUUCUAGGCCUGGGAAUAUGAAGGGCAGGGUCAUGCUGGGUUCAGGAGCACUUACCUGGCUCAUUUGGUUGACAAGCUGUGAGAACCAGAAUAGACCUGGGACUUUUAGGCCGAACAGGUGGGUGAACAUCUGGAUCACUCUCCAGGUUAGGCAGAUGCCAGAUACAUGGCCCAUGCUGAGGUUAGUGUAUAUGGCUAAUUGUGGUAGCUGAUUAUUUGGGGUCCAUCACCAGGUCUUUUUUGUUGGUUAGCAUUUGCUUGGCUCCUGUGAAAUUAUUUUUCCAGUAUCUGCCAGACAGUUUCCAGGUUUUCUGUCUUAACACUCUUGUGUAGGAAUAGAAUUUUCUAGUUGUUCCAGCUUUGUAUGUUUUUCAACUAUAAAUUCUUGACCGAAGAAUAUCUUUCAUUUCCAUGUUCUUCCAUGCAUUGUCUGGUCUAACAAUGAAAGACACAUUUCAGCUGUGUGUCUUUGCUGUUACAAAGUUUCCUUGGACAUAAUGAUUACCUGUUUGGUGUUUAACGGUUCCUCUGCCAUGUUUUUCAUAGGCAUUGCUGGUCUGAUCUCCACGACCCCUUCAUCUCUUUUUUACCCCAUUUUUAAAGAAAAAGUUUUCCAUGUGAUGUUUUCCACAUCAAGAGCUGUAUUAAUCAUGAAAGAUAGUCUCUGCAUUUUACUAUUCCAGCUCUUUCUGCUCUGAUCAUUAAAAAAGUGUUCCAUAGCCAGCUUUUAUCUGCUCUGGCCAGGAAGUAAAUCUCUAAACUCAGCCACUUCCAAAGAGGUCACGUCAUGUAGGUUCCAAAGGAAGUUUACCAUUUCUGUAUCUUCACCAUCAUUAUUUAUUCUAGUCAGGAAGGAAUUAUUGUAUUUAUAUGUCUUCCUUGGCUGUAUUCAUUUUGGCUGCACAACAAUCUUUAAUAUUUAUGUCUUCUCAAGUUAUAGCUGACUUCAAAUAAUAAUAUCUACUCCAUAUUCUUGUUUUUCCCAGAUAUAUUUCUCUGAUACCUAUGGAAAUCUUCAAUAUCCACAUCUUUCAAUGCCAUAUUUUUUCUUGAAUGUUCCCUUACCACAGCAAUAACUAUUUGGUGAUGAAAAGCAGCUACCAUUUUCCUAUCUGCACCAUGAAAUAUAUUCUGCAUGUUAUAUUUUCUGCCAUAGAUAGUAUUGUUAGGAAAUAAGCCUUCUAUCUCAUGUCUUUACUAACCACAGCUCCUUGGUGCAUUUUUCAUAUCAAUUUAUUUCUCAAAAUGAGUAUCCAUAAGAGAUAGAAUCCAAUCCUCAGUCUUGUAUAAUCAUUAAAGAUUCUAGUUGCAAAGAGAACAUGACUUGUUCACUCAUAAGGGUUUUAAAAAUUAUGUUAUAAUUUUCCAUGUCUAUAUGUUUUUAACUCACAACUACUCUGGCAAUAAAGUGCAUUCUCUGCAGUCACAUCCUCCUGUUGCUGCUUUAGUACUGGAAUAAGUCAUCUAUCACUAUGUCUUUCCCUAGAUAUAGAUGCUGUUGACAAGAAAGUGAUGCCCAACUUCUAUGUUGUGUCAUUCAGUGCAGGGUUGUAGCUGUGAAAUGCCUUCCAAAUCUAUUUCAUCAUGAGCUAAAGUUGAUUGGUAAAGCAAGAAGUUUUCCAUUACCAUAUCUUCCCAGUUUAUAUCCACUCUGCUUAAGGAAAUUUUCCUGCUUCUCCUCUUCCAUAGGCUCAACAAAGUUGGUCAGAAAAAAGUUUCCAUCUCUGGCCAAGAAAUAAGUUCUUCAUUUUCAUGCUUUGAUAAUGUAAAAAGCCAUUCCUUGCUAGUACCUUUCAAAGUCUCUCUGCUCUGGUUAUGAGCUUGACCUUUGAAUGCUAUAUACUAUAAUUCCUUCCAUUAAAAACCAUAUACCUUUCUGUGUCCCCAAAACUACAGCUGUCUUUGUUACAGAAUUGUUUUUUUUUCCUGUUAUCAUAGCUUUUCAAAUCAUGGCAGCUUUGAUCAUGAGAGCAGACUUCCCACAGAACAGUCCUUGCUGUUGACGAUUUAGGAAAACUUCUUACUCCAUUCCUGUUCAGUCAUAUUUAUUUUUGUCACAAUCUAGUUUUGGUUUCCUCAGUUUCUGCAUCCAUAGCUACUUUGUCAAGUAAACAAUGAUUUUAAAUCUAGGAUUUCUCCUGUUAAAUUUGCUGUCAGUGUGUCUGUUUUGGUGACCACAGAAAAUUUUCUCUUCCCUCUCUGACCAUUUAUGCUCUGAUCACUGAAGAUUUUUUUGAUUGUGUAUCUUAUACGACCAUAGCAGCUCUUUGUGUGUUUGUACUGAGAUAUUAUCUCAUCAGUCAGGGUGGUCUUGAACUCACCAUCCUACUACAGUGCUAGCUAGCAGCUCUUUGAUACAUGUAUCUGAGCUUUAUGACAUCCACAUAAUAAGUAAAUCUCUACAGCAAGAUGAAUUAAUAGAUAUAUUAUCUUACAUACCUGCUUUUUUGUGAUGAAAGCAGCUAAAAUUUACUUAUUUCAUUAAAACCUAAAUACAAUAUGGUCUUAUUAACUCUAGUACUCAUGCUGCCAUACAUAAAGUCUCUAUACUUGCUCCUCCUACACAUCUUCUACUUCAGGAUUCCUUUAGAACAGUUCUCACCACUUCAGUACAGUGUAGGUUUCCUUGUAGUGAAAGUGUGAUUCUAUCCUGCUGCGUCCCACUUUUCUAGCUUCACUCAUGGCUUGAGAGAAUAUAGAGAAACAUAAAGAAUACGCUAAUUGGAACAAAGUUCUAGGCAAGGACAGCCAAGUAGAUGAGCCCAGUUUGUUCUCUUCUGUGGGGUUUUGCAUUUCUACCUAUGCCUAUUUAUAUGUAUGUAUCCCCUUUUCAUGCUGUAUGUUUGGCUUUUUACUCUGUAUCCUGACUGUAUUCAAGCUGAGAAGAGGACUGCAACUGUAGCAUGGAGAACAUACUGUAAUUAUGGUAAGACAAUGGCCAAUUCAGGAACUAUUCUCUAAAAGGUGAAGAGAUUGCAGAAACAAUUAUCAAACCCCCCCUUAAAAUAUCAGGAAUUCAUUAGAGUACAAUGAGGCUUUCUGGGGGCAAAGCCAAUGACUGCCUAGGAUAAAGGAUCUGGCGAUGUCUGUCUGUCUCAACCCAGCCCCUUCAUCAGACCAAACCUACCAAGAAAACUGAGGCUUGUAUCUUGUAAAAAGUCACCUGUGGCUGAAAUACUCUUUUCAUAUGAAUACUAUGAGUGCUCACAUUGGCGGCAUACUCCUGUCAUCUUAGCACUAAAAAGACCAAAGCAAUAGGACUACAGCCCAGUGUAGGUUGCAUGAUAAGAACCUGUCUAAAAAUGGCUAACAUUACUUUUACUCAUACUUGUUCUUUUUUAUUUAAAAUAUCCCUGGGUCUCUGAACUCCACUUCGCUCAACAUUAUGUCAUCUUAUACUCUGAGAAACAUCUUGGGACAUUUGUACCUGGAUUUCAUCAGGCUUGAUGUUUGGUAUUCCUUAUAGACCUCCACACUGUAAUUACAGGUGAUUUUAACCAGAAAUGCCACCCAUUAGCUCUGUCAAGAGGAACAACAUUCAACAUGCCACCACACUGGAAAAACUUGGCUAGGAUCUGGCAACAAGCUGAAGUUCCAAGACCAUCUGGACAUCAAGAGUCACUUCUUCAUAUUUCCAUAAAUGCUAGUUUGGUUGUGCUUGUAAUCCAUGCUACUUUGGAGACUUGAGUCAAAGAAACAAGUUGACCAUCCUGAACAAGACAGGAUAUAACCUUAUCUCAAAUCAAAACCAACCAAACUCCAGAAAGAUAUUCAUAAACUUUCUGGUGAGUUUGCUGAGGAAAAGGAUUAUAUUGCUAAAUGUUAAGGGAUAAUGCCAUUAAUAUUUUAUAUUAAUGGUAUUUUAUUAUUUAAGCCAUCAAAAUACUCAUUCUUAAUAACACGCAUUCUUGAGUGAACUUUUGUAAUGGGUGAAAUACUUAUAUGUAUAUGCGUAAUGAGAUAAUAUUUGUGCCAUUUUAGACUGAUGUUAUUUGUAGUAUACUGAUGAUUCAGUGUAUAUCUUUUCCGUUAAGUUAUGUAAGAUUGGUAGAUUAGAAUUUACAAGUAAAAUAGUGGAUUAAAUACUAUAUCUGAGCCAGUGGAUAAAAAAUGUUAUGAUAAAAACAUAAUAAAUCCUAUUUAUGUACAAGAAAGACUAAAAAAACUAAAAAGGCAAAGUCUAAACUUCUCUACAACGAAGGAUCCAGGUCCAGCAGAAAUCAGUUGUGGUACUACUCCUACUAACUGACCUCGCUGUAGCUGCCAGACUUGUGUUCUCACCAUGAAAGCGCAGGAGAGAAGGCCUGGGCUGUGUAAACUCAACUGAAUGGGUAAAAAUCCCUUAAAUAGAACAGGAUGUGAGUAGUAGAAAUGUGGUUUGACAACCUAAAGAUCACUACACAUUAAUAGAGGGAACAAUUUGUCAAGAAUAUUAGAAUGUUAUUAAUUUUUGUGCACCAAAUAUUAGAUCCAGUCAGUGAGAAAUUUCAAUACUCUCAUCCUUAGACACAUUUCAAACUAAAAAUCUACAAAGAAAUGACAUGAGCAAAUAACACCAUAGAGCAGUCACAUUUUACAGAUACUUACAAAGUAUUCCAUCCAAUUAAUAGGAACUACGCAUUAAUCUCAGCAGCACAGGGGGUUUUAUCUAAAACUAUUCACAUUACAGGACACAAAACAAAGAUGGAAUUACUUACAUUUUAUAAGAUAAUGGUAUAAUAAAAGAAGUUACAAAAAUACUUAGUACUGAGCAAUACAUUUUUGAAUUAACAGUAGACUCUAAUAAAAUCCAGAGAGACUUUAGGGGAUACUUUAUUAACUUACAUUCUAAAAAAAGCUAGAAAACUGGGACUGGAGAUGUAGAUCUGUGGUAGACUGCUUGUUUGGCAUCUUCAAAACCCUAAAUUUGAUUCCUAGCACUGUUAAAAAAAUGUUAGAAAACUUAAAAGAAAUGGAUAUAUUCCUGAACCCAUGUGACCUGCCAACAUGAAUUCAAGGAGGUACGAACAACUUCAAGAAAUGCAAAAUAAGCAAUGAUUUUGUAGUCUUUCCACAUAGAAAAGUCAGGGGAUGCUGGGUGGUACUGGUGCAUGUCUUUAAUCCCAGCACUUGAGAGGCAGAGACAGGAGGAACUCUAUGAGUUCAAGGCCAGUCCCUGGUCUACACAGCAAGUUUCAGGACAGGCUCCAAAAGCUACAGAAAAAAACCUGUCUUGAAAAACCAAAAGAAAAAGAAAGAAGAAAGAAAGAGAGAGAGAGAGAGAGAGAGAGAGAGAGAGAGAGAGAGAAAAGGAAAAGAGGAAAGGAAAAGAAAAGAAAAGAAAGACAGGGCUGAAUGGAUUCACUAUUGAAUUCUAACAAAUCUUUAAGGAAGUCUAGCAUUAGCACUUCUUAAACAUUCUCAUAAAAAGAAGUAGAGGGGACACCAUUAAACUUAUCUAAGAAAUUCCAUGUUCCCAUAAUGUGAAUACUGUUAACAUUACUGUUAUUCAUUUUAAAGCAUUAAAGAUGUUUUAUACAUACGUUAAAUUCAUCACUGACCCUAAAAAUGAAGUGAUUGGAAAAAAUGGAUUAAACAUCAAACUACA
Molecule: long non-coding RNA, 21192 nt
Organism: Chionomys nivalis (European snow vole)
Lineage: Eukaryota; Metazoa; Chordata; Mammalia; Rodentia; Cricetidae
Exons: 2
Source: RefSeq, a predicted model, not a curated record